Molecule: unclassified non-coding RNA, 25 nt
Filed under: Mus musculus (house mouse)
Lineage: Eukaryota; Metazoa; Chordata; Mammalia; Rodentia; Muridae
Description: oocyte_clustered_small_RNA10902
Source: RNAcentral
UCCUGGCACAAAGUCUGGGCUGCUG